GUGAGCUGUAGUAAAAUUGUGUUAAAUAAAGAGAUGGUACCCAUUGGAAGUCUAAACUUGAAAGAUCCUAACAGCAUUUACUAGGGUUCCCUGUUCUCCAACGGCCAUUCCCACCACCACCACAUUGAGCCCCCAGCCUAAAGCCUAAAGCCUAAAACUUCUGCAGGCCUUUCUCCCUCUAGCUAUUUACUUCUCCUCGAACUCGUGUGACCUGACCUCCCCCUGACCCCUCAGUUAUAAAUCCAAACUAACAAAAGCAGAGCUUGCAAACACAGAGAUGGCCAAUAAGACUCCCAUAUUCCCUAUGCCAGAGCCUCAUCACUACAGCGACUAUGGCUUUGACCCGCAAAUCAACUACUUUCAGGUCUUGCUCUUAAUUGGUUUAUUACUCUGUUUUCUUACUCUCUCAUAUGUUCUAUGAUUUUCACUUUCUUUUUGAGAUUGACCCAUUCUCUUGUUUUUGUGCUUAAACAAAGUUCUUGGAGGAAGCCAGAAAGCACAAGCGUGAGACAGUGAGGUCCAUAGACUCUUCGCAUUUCAAGCUCCAAAAACCCAUCUCGAAAGAUGAGUCUAACAGAAAGAUCCACAAGACCAAGAAGAAGCGUUGGUGGAGAAAAGCCUCCUUGUUUUUCAAAUGGAAGUGGAUCUAUAGCCAACAUAAUGAUAAUGCCGAUGAAAAUGUGCAUAAAGCCAGGGCUCGAGCAUUCAGGGCAUCAGUAUCGGGUCCUGUGUACGUAACUGAAAGCAGAAGCGGGUCGAGUACUCCGUACAGGACCACUAGCAGCCCAUCGUCAGGUCCGCUCGCCGGAACUCUGACUCCGGCUAGGAAGGGUGAUUUAGAGAUACCUUAUUUGAGUCUGAGGGAGCUAAACAUGGAGCAUCAGCAGCAGAGGAUGUCCACUUCUGCUAUGCCAGUAUACCUGGUCACUUAAUUAAAUGUUUCAAGUUUUUGAGCUCUGGGCAGCUUUUGUUUCAGGAUGUUACUGACUAGUGACUACUUCUUGUUUGGUUAGUGAUGUUUGUGGGUUUGCUUUGGGGGUUAACCAUUAUUAUAAUUAUCUUCUUGGGUUUUUGCCUUUCUCUUUUUUAUACUUUUCAGGUUUUGCAAAGUGCAAACUGCAAAAGGCGUUUGAUCUUGGAGGAUGGUUGGAUUGGAUCCUCUUUUUUUUUGGUGGUUGUUGCUCACUUUAUUGAUUUCUUCAACUAAUAGACUAGUCAGUGCUCAAAGGUUUGACUGAGUCACUUCCCUCAUUUUCUCCCUUGUUUAUUCUUCAACAUUCACGAGGCUGUUAGUGGUUGGCUUGCAAUAAAAUAAAAGAAAAUCCAUUGAUGGAUCUUAGGCAGGACGGGAAACGCACUGCAUACGCGUACAAAUUACAGGAUUUCUCCUUGGGUUUUGAAUUUUCAAACGGUUAAUGCUACUUUUUCCAAAUACGGGGGUAGCUUUCGAAUUGGGUUAUUGUAUUCGCCCACAAAGACCAUGGGAAGCAAAUGGAUACAAGCCCCCUACAUGAAAGAGAAGGCAAUGAUGCUGUUAGUCUGUUACCAGCAAAGGGUGGAAGGUAUCAGUGGGAUGACCUAACAAAUUGGCAUUAAAAAAUAUUGAAUAAUGAAAACGAGAUUUUGACAAGGCAAAUUAAUUAUAGAAAGGGAAAGAGAGAGAAGGGUUUCAACGGCAGUAGAUUGGGGCACUAGGCUACAAAAUAAUGAGCGGCGGCUCCGUCUGCCAUGUGCUGGUUUUAAUUCGCGGAUUAUGCUGAGUGCAAAUAUCACAUUCACAGGGCUGCUCAUCCUAUGCAAUCCUCCUAUGUCGUUUUCUUUUCGCAUUUUGUCAGUUGGAUUCUAAUCAACGGUUUUAUUUUUCGAGUUUUAAAUUUAGUGUCCGUUUAGAUUUUAAGAUUAGAUAUACGUUAAGGUAUAAUUGUCAAAACUUCACAUAAAU
RNAcentral lists this unclassified non-coding RNA (1942 nucleotides) under Hevea brasiliensis (rubber tree). The record is from RNAcentral. Lineage: Eukaryota; Viridiplantae; Streptophyta; Magnoliopsida; Malpighiales; Euphorbiaceae.